Molecule: long non-coding RNA, 1264 nt
Filed under: Homo sapiens (human)
Lineage: Eukaryota; Metazoa; Chordata; Mammalia; Primates; Hominidae
Description: HSALNT0014648
Source: RNAcentral
UCCAGCAGUUAGAGCAGAGGAAACUCCCUGAAGAAGGGAGGAGCUGAGAUCCCAGGCUGGGAGAGCAGGCUUGUGUUAAGCAUUACUUAAUCUUUAAUUGCUCCCUGCCUGAAUCUACCAGCCAGCGAAUGACAACUGACUGAGUAUAAAUACUAGGACUACAGAACCGUGAUAAAAGGAGCCUGAGCUGAGUCCACACACUGGAAGCCCAGAACUGAGGGAACAGAUGAAAGAAAGAAAGUCAGCAGGUUUAGGGGAUGAGAACAACUCACAAAGGACAAGCCAUUGGAGUCUCCUGCCCCUGGCCAGGGAGAGCCACAGGCUGGAUGACAUCUGGUUUAUAGUGAGGGGCAGCAGCAACUCCAAGAGGGGGAAGAUGUGACCAUGAGCCCCGCCCCAGACCCAGGAGGCUUGACCUUGGGGCUGCCGUAGCAGUGGAUGCUCUUCAGCUGAAUGACCUAUCCUGGGCCCGUGACCCUGGACUUCAGCCAGAUCAGCAUCUCAAGGCUGGAGUUCAAUGGCAUGAUCUCGGCUCACUGCAACCUCUGCCUCUGGGUUCAAGUGAUUCUCCUGCCUCAGCCUCCUGAGUAGCUGGGAUUACAGGUGUGUGCCACCACGCCCGGCUAAUUUCCUAUAUUUUUAGUAGAGACGGGUUUUCACCACGUCGGCCAGGCUGGUUUCGAACUCCUGACUUCAGGUGAUCCACCCACCUCGGCCUCCCAAAGUGCUGGGAUUACAGGCGUGAGCCACCACUCCCAGCCUCUGUCUGGUAAUUUAAAUGCUUUGGAGACUCCAAGAUUCACCCAUGUCCAAAAUAAAUUCUAUAUCAGUCAUAGUACUAGCAUUUAGAAGUUGUGUGUUUUAUCCUCUAAUUAUAGAUGAAAUACCUAAGGUGGAAAGGAGUAAAGCAGCUUCCAUGAAUGUAGUGAGAAUGUAGGGGGGUUAGGGACUAAAGUCCUGCCUUAGGAUUCCCCAGCAGUUGCCAGUCACAAUUUUUGUACUCUUAGAAACAACAACAACAACAACAAAAUGACAACCUGUUUUGUUCCUCUGCUUACCCUAUCCAAUUCUCUACACCAUAACAUCUCUGCUUAUCAAGACAACUUGGAUUCUCAAUUUGUUGAGCUCAACAAAUGCAUCUCUUGAGCCCCUGUGGGUAAAGCAUUAUGCUAGUUAUGGCGGGUGAUACAGAGGAAGCACAGAAGAGUCCUUAGUGACAAGAGCUUAAGAUUUCUGCUCUCAGCUCAGCCUGAGUUGCCUGCAG